AUUGAACGCUGGCGGCAUGCCUUACACAUGCAAGUCGAACGGCAGCACGGGUGCUUGCACCUGGUGGCGAGUGGCGAACGGGUGAGUAAUACAUCGGAACAUGUCCUGUAGUGGGGGAUAGCCCGGCGAAAGCCGGAUUAAUACCGCAUACGAUCUACGGAUGAAAGCGGGGGACCUUCGGGCCUCGCGCUAUAGGGUUGGCCGAUGGCUGCUUAGCUAGUUGGUGGGGUAAAGGCCUACCAAGGCUACGAUCAGUAGCUGGUAUGAGAGGGCGACCAGCCACACUGGGAGUGAGACACGGCCCAGACUCCGACGGGAGGCAGCAGUGGGGAAUUUUGGACGAUGGGGGAAAGCCUGAUCCAGCAAUGCCGCGUGUGUGAAGAAGGCGUUCGGGUUGUAGAGCACUUUUGUCCGGAAAGAAAUCCUUGGCCCUAAUACGGUCGGGGGAUGACGGUACCGGAAGAAUAAGCACCGGCUAACUACGUG
Molecule: ribosomal RNA, 486 nt
Filed under: uncultured bacterium
Lineage: Bacteria
Description: partial 16S ribosomal RNA
Rfam family: Bacterial small subunit ribosomal RNA
Source: RNAcentral